Molecule: non-coding RNA, 73 nt
Organism: Stegodyphus mimosarum
Lineage: Eukaryota; Metazoa; Arthropoda; Arachnida; Araneae; Eresidae
Source: Rfam
GCCUUCGUGGUGUAGUGGUCAGCACGCUCGGCCCGUAUUCGAGCGGUCCGUGGUUCGAGUCCCGACGAGGGCA